This 30-nucleotide non-coding RNA is filed under the name Homo sapiens (human). Lineage: Eukaryota; Metazoa; Chordata; Mammalia; Primates; Hominidae. The record is from RNAcentral.
UAAGGAGUGUGAGUCAUCUCCAAUGAUUGA